ACAGAAAGGAAAAGCUACAUGUGGUCUACCUUUUGUUUUUCUCUGGUUCUCAGCCUAUCAAAGUGUCAAAUCCUCCUGUCGCUAUGAAGGUUCUUCUCGUCUCUUGUAUCUGCUUUCAGCUCCUCCUUGCUGUUUUCUUCAGUGCAGCUUCUUCAACAGGUGAUGUUUCAAACCAAGAGUGGAUGAAAGAACAACUACAAAACAUAUCACAACAGCUGGAUAAAUUUUGGAGAGAACUGGAUAUGCUAAACGGCAACUACAGCUUUAGGAGAUCGGUUUCCAUAGGUGAUUUAAUUUGUAUUGUUUUGGCAAUAUUUAUACUGUUACAUCAAAAAG
Molecule: long non-coding RNA, 336 nt
Organism: Cyprinodon tularosa
Lineage: Eukaryota; Metazoa; Chordata; Actinopteri; Cyprinodontiformes; Cyprinodontidae
Exons: 4
Source: RefSeq, a predicted model, not a curated record